Molecule: ribosomal RNA, 504 nt
Filed under: uncultured bacterium
Lineage: Bacteria
Description: partial 16S ribosomal RNA
Rfam family: Bacterial small subunit ribosomal RNA
Source: RNAcentral
AUUGAACGCUGGCGGCAGGCCUAACACGUGCAAGUCGAGCGGUAGCACAGAGAGCUUGCUCUCGGGUGACGAGCGGCGGACGGGUGAGUAAUGUCUGGGAAACUGCCUGAUGGAGGGGGAUAACUACUGGAAACGGUAGCUAAUACCGCAUAACGUCGCAAGACCAAAGUGGGGGACCUUCGGGCCUCAUGCCAUCAGAUGUGCCCAGAUGGGAUUAGCUAGUAGGUGGGGUAACGGCUCACCUAGGCGACGAUCCCUAGCUGGUCUGAGAGGAUGACCAGCCACACUGGAACUGAGACACGGUCCAGACUCCUACGGGAGGCAGCAGUGGGGAAUAUUGCACAAUGGGCGCAAGCCUGAUGCAGCCAUGCCGCGUGUGUGAAGAAGGCCUUCGGGUUGUAAAGCACUUUCAGCGGGGAGGAAGGCGGUGAGGUUAAUAACCUCACCGAUUGACGUUACCCGCAGAAGAAGCACCGGCUAACUCCGUGCCAGCCGCCGCGGUAA